RNAcentral lists this ribosomal RNA (562 nucleotides) under uncultured Leptospirillum sp. RNAcentral's name for it is "bacterial SSU rRNA". It matches the Rfam family "Bacterial small subunit ribosomal RNA", at positions 337 to 893 of the family's 1533-position model. The record is from RNAcentral. Lineage: Bacteria; Pseudomonadati; Nitrospirota; Nitrospiria; Nitrospirales; Nitrospiraceae.
UCCUACGGGAGGCAGCAGUGAGGAAUAUUGCGCAAUGGGGGCAACCCUGACGCAGCAACGCCGCGUGUGGGAAGAAGGCUUUCGGGUUGUAAACCACUUUUGCCCGGGACGAAAGGGGGGACCUGAAUAAGGUUGCCCGAUGACGGUACCGGGAGAAUAAGCCACGGCUAACUCUGUGCCAGCAGCCGCGGUAAGACAGAGGUGGCAAGCGUUGUUCGGAGUUACUGGGCGUAAAGAGUCUGUAGGUGGUCUGUCAAGUCUUUGGUGAAAGGCCGUGGCUUAACCAUGGGAAUGCCAAAGAGACUGGCAGACUGGAGGCUGGGAGAGGGAAGCGGAAUUUCUGGUGUAGCGGUGAAAUGCGUAGAUAUCAGAAGGAAGGCCGGUGGCGAAGGCGGCUUCCUGGAACAGACCUGACACUGAGAGACGAAAGCGUGGGGAGCAAACAGGAUUAGAUACCCUGGUAGUCCACGCCCUAAACGAUGGGUACUAAGUGUGGGAGGGUUAAACCUCCCGUGCCGCAGCCAACGCAGUAAGUACCCCGCCUGGGGAGUACGCCGCAAGG